UCAGGCGAUGUGGGAGAUUGUGCUGUAAAAGCCAUUGUGUUGGAGCCACCUGAGCUGAAAGAGCUAAGUAUCCAUCCUAAUGCUUUUCCAAAAAUGAGAAAGUUGAGAUUGCUCAUCCUACCGAAUGUUCAUAUUUCUUUCCAUGGCCCUAUAUGUCUUCCUAAUGAGCUAAGAUGGAUGGAAUUUGCUGGAAGUGGUCCUUGGAUUCCAAAAUUUCCUUCUGGUCAAAAGAAAUUAGUAAGUAUUGAUAUGAGGAAUGGCAGUAUCACAGAAGUUGUAAAACACUUUAAGGACUUCCAACAAUUGAGGUACAUUAAAUUGAGAGACUGCGAGCCCCUC
Long non-coding RNA from Eucalyptus grandis, 339 nucleotides. RefSeq lists it as uncharacterized. The record is from RefSeq and is a predicted model, not a curated record. The transcript has 3 exons. Lineage: Eukaryota; Viridiplantae; Streptophyta; Magnoliopsida; Myrtales; Myrtaceae.